RNAcentral lists this ribosomal RNA (307 nucleotides) under uncultured bacterium. RNAcentral's name for it is "bacterial SSU rRNA". It matches the Rfam family "Bacterial small subunit ribosomal RNA", at positions 28 to 334 of the family's 1533-position model. The record is from RNAcentral.
GAUGAACGCUGGCGGCGUGCUUAACACAUGCAAGUCGAACGGAAAGGCCCCUGCUUGCAGGGGUACUCGAGUGGCGAACGGGUGAGUAACACGUGGGUGAUCUACCCUGCACUUCGGGAUAAGCCUGGGAAACUGGGUCUAAUACCGGAUAUUCACGCCCCUUUGAUGUGGGGUGUGGAAAGAUUUAUCGGUGUGGGAUGAGCUUGCGGCCUAUCAGCUUGUUGGUGGGGUAAUGGCCUACCAAGGCGUCGACGGGUAGCCGGCCUGAGAGGGUGUACGGCCACAUUGGGACUGAGAUACGGCCCAG